This is a small nucleolar RNA of Erinaceus europaeus (western European hedgehog), 136 nucleotides long. Lineage: Eukaryota; Metazoa; Chordata; Mammalia; Eulipotyphla; Erinaceidae. The record is from RefSeq and is a predicted model, not a curated record.
UUGGCCCUGAAUCAAGACCAGCACAGUGCUGAAGCUGAUGGUUUCAAGCAGGAGCCUUAAAAAAUGUCUUUUAAGGUCUGUUGGCCAUUUCAUAACUUGAGAAGUGUAAUGGUUAGUUCAGUAGGAAGAAACAACU